Long non-coding RNA from Girardinichthys multiradiatus, 423 nucleotides. RefSeq lists it as uncharacterized. The record is from RefSeq and is a predicted model, not a curated record. NCBI's taxonomy places the organism in Eukaryota, Metazoa, Chordata, Actinopteri, Cyprinodontiformes, Goodeidae. The transcript is spliced from 3 exons.
UCAGAGAGCUGCAGUAGUGCUGGUGCGUCCUCCCACAACGUGAGUCAACCACUUCCACUUGUCCUCGGUCCAAGCCUGCAGGAAACGCCCAUGACAGCUCCCAGCGACCACUGGUCAGACAUUACACCAAGAUGUUGGAGAGAGAAACAAGAGAAGCUACAGAGACUCUCAGUAGAUUGCCCCCAUUGUCCAUGAUUCUCUGCUCUUCAAUCAAUCAGGUUUCUGAGUGUGAGGAGGCAACAAACAAUGACCCGGAGGAAGAUUGAGUGGAAGUCAGUGGUCUCCUACUUGUUUUUUUUUAUUUUGGGUAGGGGGACUUAUAGACAGACUUUUUCCCACACUACAGAUUUUCUAUUAAAUCUUAAAGUAUCCUAAUGUGUACUCAAUAUGCAACUGUUACAUCGUUUCAGACUAAAAAGACAA